Molecule: ribosomal RNA, 374 nt
Filed under: uncultured organism
Description: partial 16S ribosomal RNA
Rfam family: Bacterial small subunit ribosomal RNA
Source: RNAcentral
GUAGGGGGCGAGCGUUGCUCGGAUUUACUGGGCGUAAAGAGCGCGUAGGCGGCCAGGUAAGUCCGGUGUGAAAUCCCUCGGCUCAACCGAGGACCCGCAUCGGAAACUACUUGGCUUGAGUCCAGGAGAGGAGGGUGGAAUUCCCGGUGUAGCGGUGAAAUGCGUAGAGAUCGGGAGGAACACCUGUGGCGAAGGCGGCCCUCUGGACUGGUACUGACGCUGAGGCGCGAAAGCUGGGGGAGCGAACGGGAUUAGAUACCCCGGGUAGUCCCAGCCGUAAACGAUGGGCACUAGGUGUGGGAGGUAUUGACCCCCUUCCGUGCCCGCAGCUAACGCAUUAAGUGCCCCGCCUGGGGAGUACGGCCGCAAGGUUG